Molecule: ribosomal RNA, 558 nt
Filed under: Trichoderma hamatum
Lineage: Eukaryota; Fungi; Ascomycota; Sordariomycetes; Hypocreales; Hypocreaceae
Description: eukaryotic LSU rRNA
Rfam family: 5.8S ribosomal RNA (bases 183-336)
Source: RNAcentral
GAUUCCGAGAUCACUCCAACCCAAUGUGAACGUUACCAAACUGUUGCCUCGGCGGGGUCACGCCCCGGGUGCGUAAAAGCCCCGGAACCAGGCGCCCGCCGGAGGAACCAACCAAACUCUUUCUGUAGUCCCCUCGCGGACGUAUUUCUUACAGCUCUGAGCAAAAAUUCAAAAUGAAUCAAAACUUUCAACAACGGAUCUCUUGGUUCUGGCAUCGAUGAAGAACGCAGCGAAAUGCGAUAAGUAAUGUGAAUUGCAGAAUUCAGUGAAUCAUCGAAUCUUUGAACGCACAUUGCGCCCGCCAGUAUUCUGGCGGGCAUGCCUGUCCGAGCGUCAUUUCAACCCUCGAACCCCUCCGGGGGAUCGGCGUUGGGGAUCGGGACCCCUCACCGGGUGCCGGCCCUGAAAUACAGUGGCGGUCUCGCCGCAGCCUCUCCUGCGCAGUAGUUUGCACAACUCGCACCGGGAGCGCGGCGCGUCCACGUCCGUAAAACACCCAACUUCUGAAAUGUUGACCUCGGAUCAGGUAGGAAUACCCGCUGAACUUAAGCAUAUCAA